Long non-coding RNA from Peromyscus eremicus (cactus mouse), 689 nucleotides. RefSeq lists it as uncharacterized. NCBI's taxonomy places the organism in Eukaryota, Metazoa, Chordata, Mammalia, Rodentia, Cricetidae. The transcript is spliced from 3 exons. The record is from RefSeq and is a predicted model, not a curated record.
UGUACCAACCCAGGCUCGAGGCCAUGCUGCAUUUUACACUUUAAACUGCCAACCAGUAGUAAUUCCAAACAGUGUUAGUGAUAAAAAUCUCCUCCUCUGGGCAGCUGGCCCUUCUGCCCCUUUCAGGGCACGUGGGUGAACGGAGCAAAGACCCAGAGACAAAGGAAUUGGAGCUGUUUCCUGUCUCCGGCAGCGGUGACUGGAGGGGACAGAUCCAUAGUGACAAGCCUGCUUAGACCAGUGCUCCUAAGUGUUCCUGUCUUGAUGGAUUAGCUUGGCCAGGACAAGUUUACACAUCACUGGAGAAGUGUGAAGAGGGAGUGCGGAUGGAAAAAAAUAGAGACGCAGGAAGAGGAAAGUGCUUUCGGGGAAGAAUGAAUGGAGGCAAGGAAUGAACACAUGAAGUAGCAUCCCAUUGAAGAGUUGGGGAGAACUCAAAAUAUUAUUUUGGGGUAGGUAUAGAGGCAUGCUGUCUCUGAGUCUAUUUUCUGAUUCAUCUAAGACUUUGAAACAUCUUCUACUUUUUUUUGUCUUUACCACAGUAGACUAAAAACAAAGGUUCAGAAUGACUGUCUACACCAUCUAAGCUAAAGAUGAGGAUGGAGAUGGGGAGACUCUCCAGUCUUCAUUGACACCCCCUUAAUGAUGAAGGCCCCCUUCUGCCAAAGCAAUAAGGAAAUAAAGAAUAC